AACGAACGCUGGCGGCAUGCCUAACACAUGCAAGUCGAACGAGACCUUCGGGUCUAGUGGCGCACGGGUGCGUAACGCGUGGGAACCUGCCCUUAGGUUCGGAAUAACUCCCCGAAAGGGGUGCUAAUACCGGAUAAUGUCUUCGGACCAAAGAUUUAUCGCCUUUGGAUGGGCCCGCGUUGGAUUAGCUAGUUGGUAGGGUAAAAGCCUACCAAGGCGACGAUCCAUAGCUGGUCUGAGAGGAUGAUCAGCCACACUGGGACUGAGACACGGCCCAGACCCUUCGGGGAGGCAGCAGGGGGGAUUAUUGGCCAAGGGGCGAAGGCCUGAUCCAGCAAUGCGGCGUGAGUGAUGAGGGCCUAGGGUUGUAAAGCUCUUUUACCCGGGAUGAUAAUGACAGUACCGGGAGAAUAAGCUCCGGCUAACUCCGUG
This 432-nucleotide ribosomal RNA is filed under the name uncultured bacterium. Its description in RNAcentral is "partial 16S ribosomal RNA". It matches the Rfam family "Bacterial small subunit ribosomal RNA", at positions 29 to 507 of the family's 1533-position model. The record is from RNAcentral.